Podarcis lilfordi (Lilford's wall lizard) is the source of this 70-nucleotide non-coding RNA. NCBI's taxonomy places the organism in Eukaryota, Metazoa, Chordata, Lepidosauria, Squamata, Lacertidae. The record is from the annotation of a GenBank genome assembly.
GGAUGGCUCAGUUGGUUAGACUGUGGUGUUGAUAAUGCCAAGGUUGCAGGUUCAAGCCCCGUAUGGGACA